This 254-nucleotide ribosomal RNA is filed under the name uncultured bacterium. Its description in RNAcentral is "partial 16S ribosomal RNA". It matches the Rfam family "Bacterial small subunit ribosomal RNA", at positions 57 to 305 of the family's 1533-position model. The record is from RNAcentral.
GCAAGUCGAGGGGUAACAUUUUGUGCUUGCACAAAGAUGACGACCGGCGCACGGGUGCGCACCGCGUAUGAAAUCUACCUUUCACAGGGGAAUAGCCUUUGGAAACGAAGAUUAAUGCCCCAUAGUACCUUAUGUAGCAUUACGAGAUGGUUAAAGACUUCGGUCGGUAGAAGAUGGUCAUGCGUCCCAUUAGUUAGUUGGUGAGGUAACGGCUUACCAAGACAACGAUAGGUAGGGGCCCUGAGAGGGGGAUC